CUUCAGGGAGCCCAGCCACAGGGGGCGUUCGUCGGUGUGCUCCUGCCCGUAGGUGGUGAGCAGCGCCUGGGCCUC
This 75-nucleotide antisense RNA is filed under the name Streptomyces viridochromogenes DSM 40736. RNAcentral describes it as "ASpks TB sRNA". It matches the Rfam family "ASpks TB sRNA". Lineage: Bacteria; Bacillati; Actinomycetota; Actinomycetes; Kitasatosporales; Streptomycetaceae. The record is from Rfam by way of RNAcentral.